GCUGUUAAUCAUGACUAAUUGAGAGCAGAGGAAAAAAAAAUGUCACUUGUAGAGGGAAAGCAGUAUUUCAGAAUUCCUGUAAACAAAGCUUUGGCUAAAAGAUUGAAUAGAAAGAGCAAAAAUGAGAAAGAAGGUGUUUUGGGCCUGGCCCCCAACGAUAUUAAACUAUUGUAACUGUUUUGAAUUGAGCUGGAAUGGCUAGAUUGAAGAAGAUUGAAAAAGAAAGCUUGAAAGUUUGUCCUGUGAAGGCAUUAGAACCUCCUGGAAGAUGCCAAAAUAUCUUUGAGUAUAGAUGUCUCCAGGAUGUUAGUGCCAAGGCUCCAGAGAACUCUCCACUGCAUCAGCCUUUAGCUUGAAUGCCUGCUGUCAACUCCCGUGGACACCAUCACAGAUCUUAGGACUCAUCUAUUUAACAUGGGAUCCGUGCCCGGGACCAAGACACUGAUUUGUCUAUAAACUUCCAGUGCUGUGACAUGGCAGCAACCCUCAGGCAACAGAAGCAUGAAAGGGCUCAAGCAGAACCAAACCCAGGUUUGGGGCUGAAGACACAUGUGGAACUGGUUCUGACAUGUUCCUGGAGAAAGCAGAAGUUCAAAAAGAAUCGGGAAGAAAGAGCUAAAAGAAGGGAGAAGAAAAUAUAUAAAUACACAGAAACUAAAAAGAGAGAGCUUAUUGUGACCUUUCCCAUAGGAGCUCAUAGCAGUUGGCUGCAUGCAUUUAUGAAGUCAGGAAAAGGGAAUCAAAGAUCUAUGUGCGUGUGAAGGUUCAGUGAAGGAAGCCCUUGCUGAGUAAGGUCAAGUAAAAUUUACUUAGUUCCUAGGUAUGUUGACUUGUAGAUGAGUAUCUGAAUGAGUGAGUCAAAUAGACAGUAAAUUUUCUGAACACAAUUUCCACCCUCCUUUAUAUCAAUUUACUGUAUAAUAAACCCUGCUGUAAAAU
Molecule: long non-coding RNA, 939 nt
Filed under: Homo sapiens (human)
Lineage: Eukaryota; Metazoa; Chordata; Mammalia; Primates; Hominidae
Description: HSALNT0092142
Source: RNAcentral